RNAcentral lists this ribosomal RNA (501 nucleotides) under uncultured bacterium. Its description in RNAcentral is "bacterial SSU rRNA". It matches the Rfam family "Bacterial small subunit ribosomal RNA", at positions 10 to 507 of the family's 1533-position model. The record is from RNAcentral.
AGUUUGAUCAUGGCUCAGGAUGAACGCUAGCGGCAGGCCUAAUACAUGCAAGACGAACGGUAAGUUGAGUAGCAAUACUUAGCCAAGAGUGUCGUACGGGUGCGUAACACGUAUGCAACCUACCCUAUACAGGAGAUAGCCUAGGGAAACCUGGAUUAACCCUUCAUAGUAUUAUUGGAUGGCAUCAUUUGAUAGUUAAAAACUGAGGUGGUAUAGGAUGGGCAUGCGUCUGAUUAGUUAGUUGGCGGGGUAAUGGCCCACCAAGACGAUGAUCAGUAGGGGUUCUGAGAGGAAGAUCCCCCACACUGGCACUGAGAUACGGGCCAGACUCCUACGGGAGGCAGCAGUAGGGAAUAUUGGUCAAUGGAUGCAAGUCUGAACCAGCCAUGCCGCGUGCAGGAAGAAGGCCUUCUGGGUUGUAAACUGCUUUUGCCAGGGGAUAAAAUUUCCAUGCGUGGAAAACUGAAGGUACCUGGUGAAUAAGCCACGGCUAACUACGUG